This 509-nucleotide ribosomal RNA is filed under the name uncultured bacterium. RNAcentral describes it as "bacterial SSU rRNA". It matches the Rfam family "Bacterial small subunit ribosomal RNA", at positions 9 to 507 of the family's 1533-position model. The record is from RNAcentral.
CGAGUUUGAUCCUGGCUCAGAUUGAACGCUGGCGGGAAUGCUUUACACAUGCAAGUCGAGCGGCAGCGCGGGGGCAACCCUGGCGGCGAGCGGCGAACGGGUGAGUAACACAUCGGAACGUACCCAGUUGUGGGGGAUAGCCCGGCGAAAGCCGGAUUAAUACCGCAUACGCCCUGAGGGGGAAAGUGGGGGAUCGCAAGACCUCACGUUAUUCGAGCGGCCGACGUCUGAUUAGCUUGUUGGUGAGGUAAUGGCUCACCAAGGCGACGAUCAGUAGCGGGUCUGAGAGGAUGAUCCGUCACACUGGAACUGAGACACGGUCCAGACUCCUACGGGGAGGCAGCAGGUGGGGUAAUUUUGGACAAUGGGGGAAACCCCUGAUCCAGCCAUUCCGCGUGAGUGAAGAAGGCCUUCGGGUUGUAAAGCUCUUUCAGCUGGAACGAAACGGUACGCUCUAACAUAGCGUGCUAAUGACGGUACCAGCAGAAGAAGCACCGGCUAGCUACGUG